AGCUCAAAUUGUAUUACUUUAAUAUUGUUGUGCUUUUGACAAAUUAUCUGGAAAACAAUGUGACAAGGUUUAUACUUAAAAAAAACACUAGGACAAGACAACAACAAUGUUUUCUCAAUGCCGUCACAGAUAAUUAUGAACAAAUAUGUUUUAAAAUAAUGAAAAGUAGUAUUAUUAUCCUAAAACAAAACAAUUAUUUUCUUGUAACUGCCAUAUUUAUAACAAUCAUAGUCUAAUCGUCGUCUUUAUCAGUUUCAGAGCAUUUGUGUGUUUCACUGAAAAGAAUUCUGGGAUUAAUUUUUAGUUUUGGGCUCAAGCUUCACUGACUGGUAUAACUGUAUGAAUCCACAUUAGUGGCCUAUUGUUCUAUAUGUCAUUCUGUAUGUCAUUGCAUUAUAUUAUGCACGGAAUAGAUCUUUGACGGUCUACUAGCAUGUUGGUUAUGUACGUUGUCGCAGUUAGCUGAUGUGGACGGCUAUAGAGCACAGCAUGCCCGCUGCUCUCCACAAGACGCUCAAGUGGCCAUGCAUGAUGUCAUUAAAAAGGGCCCAACCAUGACAUUCCUCUGUGGCUUAUUGGCAAGUUAUGGCUGGCGGAUGUGUUAUGGAGUGAGGUCAAUCAGAUCCCUGUUAAUCGGCAACGGUGCCGUUGAUAAAGCCGAUGACAUCUUUUGACUCUUAAUGUGUGUGAAUGACCGAUGUACAAUCUCGGACUUUUUGGGGGAUUUUAACAGCUGACUUUAUGACAUCAAUUCAUGUAGAACGCUAGAGAAACUUAAACUAAAUCAAUUAACCAAUGCAUGUGUGUCCUGAUGGGAAACACAUAUAAACACUAUAAUUUGUCUACAGUAAGCCACAGAGCGAAGGAGUUGGUAGCAUUUGGUUUCUCGCAUAGAUCACUCUACAUACACACACUCACACACACACACACAUCCCCCCAAACAGAGAAAAAAAUCUGUCCUGCAUUGGCAGAGGCUGAUGCUGCCAUGCGCUCGGUGAUCUCACCUACCGUUGCCGUGGCGACACCAACCAGAGGGAAAAGCCUUAUUGUGUGUGCGCAUGCGUGUGUAUAUGCUUGCGAUUGUGACAGGAGCUUGAGCUGGAGGAAGAGGAGGAGGAGGAGGAGGGCCUGCAGGAAUUCACAUUGUGCCCGGCUUGUUUCACUUACACUUUAUCAGUGGGAAUACAGAACCGGCCCUUUUCAAUUAUCAAGGCAAUAAAUUCAGCAUGGCCGUGUCGUUAAAACAGCAAGCCAGUGCUUUAAUAAGGAAAGGACAGCAUAUAGGAAGGGAACGGCUGCAUGCCAAUUCAUUUGCAUAAGCCUUACAGGGGACGAAGAUAAAACAGGAAGAGAAAAAUACAGGGCUUCAUGAAUACAUGAUUAAACAUUGAGAAACAUACAGAUGCAUGUAGGGAAGCAUGCAUGCUGCACACACGCAUGUAAGCUUCACUCCUACUGGCACAUCACCACUCUCACUAUUCUCUUCAGGCAAACAAACAAAAUAAACACCCCUACUCCCAGCUGGUUUUGUUGAAUUAUAUUAGUGAUGAGGAGCUAAAUCAGACUAGGGGUCAUCUGCUCAUCAAUGGCUGGCGGUGGCCUGGCUUGCACCACAGCAAUGAAUGCACUGAAUUCAUUACCCCUGGUGAACAGAUGGUGUCUGGCUGCCUGUAAGUUCAAGUUCAUGUCCAGGAGACACACACACACACACACACACACACAGAAAUAGACAGACAUGGAGAGGCCAGACAAACAGACGUUGUUGACUGAGACACAGCUAUUGUUCCCUUUCAUUAACAUGUAGUGGCCUCACUAGCUGUCCAAGACGCCGGGGUCACUUAAUUACAAAGACAAACGGACAGGACAACAUACACGUGUGCAAACACAGACAUGCAAACGAAGAUGCACGCUGAGCCUUCAGCCCCAAGCACAAGCCUCAGCAGCAUGAAUACACCACUACUUUUCUCCUCAGUUAACAUGGAUGAAGGUGUUUUGAUUGUAACUAAAAUGGCAGAGAACGCAUAUGACAACUUUCUUAUGAAAAAAAGAGUAAUAUGUUUGCCAUUUUUUUCAAUACAAAACAAACUGGGAGUAGGCUGCUGUGAGUAAGAAAAAAAUAGCCAUGCAACAAACGGUAUCCGUAUGACAACUAUAUUCACAUCCUUUGUCUGGCACAGAAAGUGACCCUGGCCUGAUACGUAUUAUGAAUCUGCUACUGCACCUGUCAAACACAGCACACGGGCAAAGAGGAAGCACGCUAAAAAACCCGGCAACGCUCAUGUGAAAUAUGCUGAUUGCCCAGCCAAUGAAUAUGAAAACAUCUUCUAUGGUCGCCAUGGUUUUUUUGUUACUCAACCAAUCACGUGACAACAAUGGCUGCGGUGCACUGUGUGUGUGUGAGCGCGGAAGUCAAGCACGUAGCCGGCGUUUACAGAGGGGAAGGAAAAGGAACCACCCAUUUCUACACGCAUAGUCAAACCACACGGGUACAUUUAUAUAUAAGGAAAUGGGUCUCUUGAAAUAAAUGGCGAGGCUACCAACAUGCAGGAACGCUUCUAUAAAUAAUAUAAAAGCAUACAUUUGGGCACCUCGCACACUAGAAGACACUAUUCAGCCCCAUUUAUAGCGACAAGAAGAUGCUUCAGGUACGUUUGUAAUUUAGAAAUGGAGUCCACGUCAUCGUCACUGACAGUUCACUGGUUUUAAGGAGCCAUGGCAGCAGUGGUGAUCAUAAAAAAACUACUAAUGUGAAUCAUAUUGACAAGAUUUACUCAAUCUCUGGAGACAGACAAUAAAGAAUAUUCAAAGCGCCGCCAACUAAUACUUGAUCUCCCCUCCAAGCAGCUCAGGAGUACUGAAUAUGUACUGAGUUGGGAGAGGCAUGCAAGUGUGAUUUGCAGUUGUUUAAACAUGUGAUCCUGCUUUUUCCUGGCAACAUACAUUUCUAGAUUGAAUAUAUUACUGUCUGUUUGGACCGAGGUCCUUUUUAAUUCUAAAAUAAUAUAGUACAUCUUAUAGCCAUAGGCUUAUAAAUGCACCAGAACAAUGUUUCCAUUUCUUGCUUAAAUGAAGAACUCACAAAAUUAGUACACAAAAUAACUGUACAAGAUUUUUGAGAGAAAAGUGGAGGCUUAUUGAAACUGUUUUCCUUGUGUGUGACAUGACAACAGUGUUCUCCCUCAAAAAGCCUGGCUACUAUUUCAAUCAAUCUAAUCGAAAACAACAAAAACUUGUUUUAUUCAGUGCUUCUCAACCCAAAUUUUCUUUCGGGUAAAUGACCAGGUAUUAUAUGCCGUGUUUGACAGGGGUCAGCGGGGAACAAGAGACACUAGUUUUAUCAGACGGUGUGACAAAGAGGGCAAGAGACCUUUUCAGAGAAGGCAGUGUUGAAGUCAUCCACUGUGGCUCUGUCUAAAACUGCACUGAAUAAUCCUCCGUUGCAAAAAAAAGCCAGCGUCACAGAUUUCUGAACAUGCUGAACUUCAACUAGAUGAUUGAAUUAUCAGACAGUUUGAAACCCAACAAUCUAAAGACAUACACACCUUCAACGUGGCUAAAUUCAACGUUUUAAGAUGGUGUUGCACAGAUGGGUCUAUCAUCUGAGGGUGUAACAGUCAGGUAACAGCCACCUCAAGUUGGGUUGCGACUUGAGGUGGUUGAUUGUUUAUGAUGGCGACCAAGAUGUAAGUGCAAUGAAACCAUUGAUUAAAUAAUACAUCAUGUGUAUUACUUAAU
Long non-coding RNA from Gasterosteus aculeatus aculeatus (three-spined stickleback), 3735 nucleotides. The record is from Ensembl. NCBI's taxonomy places the organism in Eukaryota, Metazoa, Chordata, Actinopteri, Perciformes, Gasterosteidae.